RNAcentral lists this long non-coding RNA (273 nucleotides) under Elaeis guineensis (African oil palm). RNAcentral's name for it is "long non-coding RNA (EGUI_LNC009938)". The record is from RNAcentral. Lineage: Eukaryota; Viridiplantae; Streptophyta; Magnoliopsida; Arecales; Arecaceae.
GGGGAACGAAAGGUGAAAGGAACCAACUAGCCGCACUGUUCCUAAGGUAUAGCUGCAUUUGAAAAUACCCUUGGUGUUUUCAUCAACCACUUCACUACCCUUCUACUAUAAGAAUUGUGAUUUUUCAACUUAAAUUUUCAAAAAAUAAGAAUAGUCAGCAGAUUUGUUGAUAAUUUUUUUGGAAUUUAAAAUUCUAAAAAUAGAUAUCAAGUUUGAUUAGGACUCUUAAAAUAUAACUUUUUUUUUAGUUGUUCAGCACCAAUGCACAUUGUA